RNAcentral lists this ribosomal RNA (253 nucleotides) under uncultured bacterium. Its description in RNAcentral is "partial 16S ribosomal RNA". It matches the Rfam family "Bacterial small subunit ribosomal RNA", at positions 524 to 776 of the family's 1533-position model. The record is from RNAcentral.
UACGUAGGGCGCAAGCGUUGUCCGGAAUUAUUGGGCGUAAAGAGCUCGUAGGCGGCUUGUCACGUCGGGUGUGAAAGCCCGGGGCUUAACCCCGGGUCUGCAUUCGAUACGGGCAGGCUGGAGUUCGGUAGGGGAGACUGGAAUUCCUGGUGUAGCGGUGAAAUGCGCAGAUAUCAGGAGGAACACCGGUGGCGAAGGCGGGUCUCUGGGCCGAUACUGACGCUGAGGAGCGAAAGCGUGGGGAGCGAACAGG